GGGCGAUUAGCUCAGCUGGUUCAGAGCAUCUGGUUUACACCCAGAGGGUCGGCGGUUCGAAUCCGUCAUCGCCCACGA
This 78-nucleotide transfer RNA is filed under the name Bacteroidetes bacterium GWB2_41_8. Its description in RNAcentral is "tRNA-Val". It matches the Rfam family "tRNA". From Rfam's summary of the family: Transfer RNA (tRNA) molecules are approximately 80 nucleotides in length. Their secondary structure includes four short double-helical elements and three loops (D, anti-codon, and T loops). Lineage: Bacteria; Pseudomonadati; Bacteroidota. The record is from RNAcentral. RNAcentral also lists the same sequence under 1 other name.